Molecule: ribosomal RNA, 497 nt
Filed under: uncultured bacterium
Lineage: Bacteria
Description: partial 16S ribosomal RNA
Rfam family: Bacterial small subunit ribosomal RNA
Source: RNAcentral
GAUGAACGCUGGCGGCGUGCCUAAUACAUGCAAGUCGAGCGAACAGACGAGGAGCUUGCUCCUCUGACGUUAGCGGCGGGCGGGUGAGUAACACGUGGAUAACCUACCUAUAAGACUGGGAUAACUUCGGGAAACCGGAUCUAAUACCGGAUAAUAUAUUGAACCGCAUGGUUCAAUAGUGAAAGAUGGUUUUGCUGUCACUUAUAGAUGGAUCCGCGCCGCAUUAGCUAGUUGGUAAGGUAACGGCUUACCAAGGCAACGAUGCGUAGCCGACCUGAGAGAGUGAUCGGCCACACGGGAGCUGAGACACGGUCCAGACUCCUACGGGAGGCAGCAGUAGGGAAUCUUACGCAAUGGGCGAAAGCCUGACGGAGCAACGCCGCGUGAGUGAUGAAGGUCUUCGGAUCGUAAAACUCUGUUAUUAGGGAAGAACAAAUGUGUAAGUAACUAUGCACGGCUUGACGGUACCGAAUCAGAAAGCCACGGCUAACUACGUG